AUAUCACUUGAUAGCUCAGUUGGUUAGAGCGUUGUGAUGAUAACGCCAAGAUUGCAGGUUUGAUCGCUGUAUGGUAGG
Non-coding RNA from Podarcis lilfordi (Lilford's wall lizard), 78 nucleotides. Lineage: Eukaryota; Metazoa; Chordata; Lepidosauria; Squamata; Lacertidae. The record is from the annotation of a GenBank genome assembly.